RNAcentral lists this microRNA precursor (52 nucleotides) under Myotis lucifugus (little brown bat). RNAcentral's name for it is "mir-1302 microRNA precursor family". It matches the Rfam family "mir-1302 microRNA precursor family". Lineage: Eukaryota; Metazoa; Chordata; Mammalia; Chiroptera; Vespertilionidae. The record is from Rfam by way of RNAcentral.
UUUUUAGUAUAACUAUGCCCCAUGCAGUAUUUGGGAUAUGCUUACACUAAAA